This is a long non-coding RNA of Vidua macroura (Pin-tailed whydah), 663 nucleotides long. RefSeq lists it as uncharacterized. Lineage: Eukaryota; Metazoa; Chordata; Aves; Passeriformes; Viduidae. The record is from RefSeq and is a predicted model, not a curated record. The transcript has 3 exons.
AGAGAUUCUGCAAAUACAAAUCCCUUCCCAAUGACAAACUUUCUGGGAGAUGGGCUAGCAGAUAUAAAGGUGCCUGUCCACUGUUCAAGGGCAUUCAAAUGUUUCAUCCAGAGUCCACACGGUGGCCUGAAACUAUGUUUGUGAGGUCUUAGACAAGGUGGCAACAACUUUCCUAUUAACAUCCAAACAUCCAACUAUCUUCUGCUUUUACAAAGCCUGUUCCCCUCUCACCAAGCUGUGAUGAUGCCUUUUCCUCACUGAAGUAACAGCUGUGAGGCUCCCUGGCUCCUAGGUGAAUUGGCUGGUCCUGCAGACUUAUCUGGUUACUAAAUAAAAAGCCCUUUAAAGAAGAUUUGCUAGUGUGUGCCACUUUUGAUAUAUAGCCUUCCAUUUGUUCACUCACAGACAUGGAACUUAGAUUAAAAGUAGUAGAAAGUCAGUGUAAGGGGGUUUAAUGAGCGAUUGCAUGUCUAGCUUUUGAAAUAUAACAGUGUUUUCUCAUUUUGGCCAGAUAUCACACAUCCUGUCUGCUUACCUCUGAUGGAGGCUGUGACUCUUAUUCCCUUGUCCCAGCAGGCAUUUCCCUGUUAGUUAUUCUGAAAGCUGAACAGUGCCUAGCUCAUCAGAACUCUGAUGGUGAAAGAAUUAUAAUAUUUAAGGCUG